This 505-nucleotide ribosomal RNA is filed under the name uncultured bacterium. RNAcentral's name for it is "bacterial SSU rRNA". It matches the Rfam family "Bacterial small subunit ribosomal RNA", at positions 28 to 523 of the family's 1533-position model. The record is from RNAcentral.
GAUGAACGCUAGCGAUAGGCCUAACACAUGCAAGUCGAGGGGCAUCACAUGAAGUAGCAAUACGGAUGGUGGCGACCGGCGCACGGGUGAGUAACACGUAUGCAACCUGCCUUCAACAAGGGGAUAACCCGUUGAAAGACGGACUAAUACCCUAUAACACAGGGGUCCCGCAUGGGAAUAUUUGUUAAAGGACAACCGGUUGAAGAUGGGCAUGCGUUCCAUUAGCUAGUUGGCGGGGUAACGGCCCACCAAGGCAACGAUGGAUAGGGGAACUGAGAGGUUUAUCCCCCACACUGGUACUGAGACACGGACCAGACUCCUACGGGAGCAGCAGUGAGGAAUAUUGGUCAAUGGACGCAAGUCUGAACCAGCCACGUCGCGUGAAGGAAGACGGCCCUACGGGUUGUAAACUUCUUUUAUACGGGAAUAAAGUGCCCCACGCGUGGGGUUUUGCAUGUACCGUAUGAAUAAGGAUCGGCUAACUCCGUGCCAGCAGCCGCGGUAA